UCCCGGGACACCAUCCUAAGGGGGUCCCCGAGCCCGCUCAGCAGAUGGCGUUCUGCGUUUUGUGCUGGGGAGCCGCCCUGGGGCUCCCCCUUCUCAUCCACUCCCCAGCUCAUCCGUCUCCUAAUUUGAUUUUCUGUGUCAGGGGGAGCGGCGUGGAGGAGGCGGAGGGCAGUCUGGGUCCUGCUCACACGUUUCUUGAUCUCUGCGGCUAGAAAGGGGAUGUCUCAAGUGUAGGCGCCGCCUAGGCAGGACCCAGGUGGCCUGGCUCUCAUCUUCUCAGGGGAUGGGGGAGACCCCUCUCCCCCAAGACCCCUAUGGGACAGAGGCGGGCUCUGCUUCAGCCCUCCGCUUCAGCCUGGCGGUCAGAAGGCUCCCUGCAGAGGAGCAAGCCAUGUUGAUUUUACGGAGAAGGCUGCUAUGCACAUUUCACUGCUGAUUUAUUGGUUUUUAACUAGAUCCUUAUGCUGGGCUAAAAAAGCCAUCUUGCACUUUGCAAGGCUCUGCUGACUGCUGCCGAAAAUGACACACAGGACUCCUCCUGCUCUACCCAGCCCUCCCUGCUCCACCCGAAGGGCAGGGCAGCGGUGGAGGUGUGAGCCUGGAGUCCUCCCAGCCACUGACCACCUGCGGUGUGCACUGGGGCCUCACAGAGCACUUGUCAUACAUUUUAAUGGACUUUGGAGUCAGACAAACCUAUGUUGAUGUCCUGGUUACUAUCCCGGCUGGCUGUGUGAUUUGGGAAAGUUAGCAUUGCUCCUCUGCAGCGCGAGAGGACGGCUUCGUGGGAAAGGAGGAUGUUAGGUACAGGCAUCUUGCGUCCACAAAUCUUGGGGUCCCUCUGGGCAUGGAAGCCAAGGGCAAGCUGCUGAGUCACAGGAGCCGCACGCGGACACCGGCCAGUAGGAGAUGCCGCUUUGGCCAGCCCUGGAAGAGCAACCAGAGAGCAGGGUGGGCACGGUGAGGACAGGUCUGAUUGAGACCCCCAGAACUCAGGGAACCUAAGGAGAACGCUGGCCGCAUCUGCAGAAUCCAUCAGGCGUCUUGAUGGGUCGCCGUUAAACAAAGAUGGGAUAAGGUUACAUGUGUUUUCCGUGGGAGUCGGCUCCAAUUUCAGCCUGAUGAUUUAGUCAGGUGUAAGCAUGAAGUUUCCAAUUUAGAGAAAUAAAUCUCCAGUGAUUUUA
This is a long non-coding RNA of Felis catus (domestic cat), 1181 nucleotides long. RefSeq lists it as uncharacterized. Lineage: Eukaryota; Metazoa; Chordata; Mammalia; Carnivora; Felidae. The record is from RefSeq and is a predicted model, not a curated record. The transcript has 3 exons.